UAAGCAGCUCCUCACGGAUGCGCUUUCCAGCAGGAGCCGAGGGGGGCCGCACACCUUGGGAGGAAGCGGGCGCGGCAGCAGCUGGACGGAUACAGCCCGAAGCCCCCCGCGGUUUGUCAACAGCUGCUCCUCUCCUGCGUGGUGCUCGCAGUGGCGGCGAAUGCCCAGCAGAGGCCGCUGUGGCCCGAGCGUCCGGGCCGGGCUCUGAUCCAGACCUACAGGGAGCGUGAAAUGCGGACGAGACCGCGAGGGCUCCGUGCCAAAGAAGAGUGUCGAACAUCGCGCCGAUGUUUUUAGGUCAUGAUGUCUUCAUCGGUGUUCAGAGGAGGCCAGCUGGGCCACACAGCAGCAGCCUGAUGACUCCGAGUGAGCCGCGGCCUUGGGUCUGGACAUCUUCUUGCCAUGCAGUGCCAUUGGCUAAGAGCCCCUCGUUGGCAAGGCAUCGAGAAUCCAUCUCCUUAAGGCCUGGCGCUGGCACGGUAUUAGAUAAACAGGUUGUGCUCUGUGUGUUUGUUUCACAUGAGCAGCAACUGAAGUGCCUGUGUUGGGAUAUGGGACCCUGGUGUCAGAAGCACAUACCUAGCAGAGGAGACUCACACUUGGGAGUAAGACGCUCACACUUCAAGGGACACCCGGGAAGUGGAGAGCACAUGGGGAAGACUUGAGUCCAGCCCCAAGGCUUGCUCCACUCCAGACCAGCAACAUAUGGAUAGGAAGAAUCUCACUGGUGAUGUAAACUCGAUUCUCUUUCUGUU
This 755-nucleotide long non-coding RNA is filed under the name Heterocephalus glaber (naked mole-rat). RNAcentral's name for it is "lncRNA (ENSHGLG00000025216.2)". Lineage: Eukaryota; Metazoa; Chordata; Mammalia; Rodentia; Bathyergidae. The record is from RNAcentral.